This 3047-nucleotide unclassified non-coding RNA is filed under the name Hevea brasiliensis (rubber tree). Lineage: Eukaryota; Viridiplantae; Streptophyta; Magnoliopsida; Malpighiales; Euphorbiaceae. The record is from RNAcentral.
GCUACCUUUGCCAAUUUCAAUCACCUGCCAUUACAAACCCACAUUUAAAAUAAAUAAAUAAAUAAAAAUUAAGGGGCAUGAAACAAAGAGAUAAGAUUGUAUAUAAAUGCAAUUAGAUUCUAAAACAUGCCACAGAUUAUCUAUGACGUAACAGAAUGGUUGCGUAUGGUUAGGAACCAAACUAAAAUGCAGUUCCUAAUUUGACUUAAUUUGCUUCUGUUUAUUCUCUUCCUUGUAAAGCAAACGCCUCUUGUUUGAACCAUAUCCAUGGUACUGGUAGAUAAUGCUGUAAAGACACUGUCUAAGGUAUGUGACAUCGAAGGCCUCGAUAAAUUUUAGAUCAUUAACUCUUGAUUUCGCACCAGCAAAAUGUCGGUAUUCCUCAACCACAGAAGGCAAGCACCAAUUUUGUAGUUUUCUAAAGCAACCAACAAGACAACCCGUCCGAUGCUGCAGGAAAGGAAAUGAAAAUAGAACGUAUAACGUCAGAACAUCCUUUUAUAAAGAUCAUAUCAUAAACAAACUGUAAGCAAUCCAUACGAUGAUAGAUUGCAACUCAGGGAAGAGUUUCACAAGAAAAAUAUACGAUGAUAUAUCAACCAUACAGUGUUGACAAUAGAUAAAAGGCCAAACAAAUAUAUGAAAUAAAUGAUCUGAUACCUCUGUUAUGCCUAAUAAAAUAUUUAAAUUAGAUAGAGUUAGUAGGUAUUAUUAGUUUAGGCCAAUGAACAAAUUCCUGAGGCAUAUGGGUAACUGGGCCUAGAGAGGUCUUCAAUCAUGGUAACAUGAUACAAAUGAAACUGGUUGUACAUUAUCUGAAUGCCACAAUGUCAUAUUACCAGAUGUUAAUGAAUUUAUUUCAAUACCCUGUAAGAAGAGGUUCCUGUUCUUCCUGAAGUUAGCACUUCUCCAACUAGCACCGUUUAGGAAAAUCAUUGGUUGUAGGGGUAUCAAGAUAUAGUUAUAUAACUGAACUUCCUUCAGGUUUAAUUCAUAAGUUGAAGAACAAUACAGAAGCAUGUAUCACAAUGAUACGAAAAGCAUAUAAUGAUUAAUCACAAGCUGAUAAGUGAUAAUAUUUUACAUAUUGAUCCUGAAAGCAGCAAUGUUGCAUAUAGCUAGGCUACUUUUACAAGGAUCAAGCACAUACAGAAGUAAAAAACGAGAAAAAGGUCACAAAACACAAAUUUGAAUUGAACAUACCUUUCCACGUUUGCAAUGAAUCAGAACUGGAUGAUUCCUCACAUCAAUUAAGACUUUCAGAGCCUCCAUUAUAGUAUCCCUCAGAAUAGAUACAGAAGGCUCCUGCAGAUACAAAUGAUUAUAGACAACAGUAUGAGUAACAGAGGGCAAAAAAACAACAGACUCCAUAUGACAUAAUCACUGUUAGUACAGUAUUAUACAAUCAGCACAAAGAAUAAAGAAAUCAUGACCAAACUACCAUAGAAGUUAUAAUAAAGAAUACCCAAGUGACCAAAAAUUUUUUCAAGGAGGCAUUUAAGUAGCACAAAAUUUCUGAUAUGGCUUCUGUUUAGCAGCAAAAUGCUACGUAUGUAGCAUUGAUACUCUAUUACCAAAUGCAUAGUACACAAUAGAGGCAUGCUGGAGUGGAGAUCAUAACAUAUAUUAUGUGUUUUCAACCCUGAAGAAUUGAAGAAAAGAAAAAAAAUUACCGUCUUCCCCUCAAUUCCAAACUGGAAUAGUUUAAUAUUAUGAGCACGAAGAAACUCCAUAUUCUCUUGUGGAUAUGGCUCAAAGCACAAGUAUCUGCUCCAAAUUCCAAACACAAACAAAUCACAAUGGUCAACCGAACAUUCAGUAAAAAGAAAACAAGUAUAUACAUAUCGAAUCAAUCUAGCCCUUACUCCAAUUCUUUCAAAUUGUUUUCUUUCAGUAUCAAGCAAAAGAAAAAAAAAAAAAAACCCACAAAGUUGAAUGAUAAUAUUUAGAUUCGAAAAUACCGUUUUCCGUUAAAUUUGAACAGUAACAAGGCGUACCUUGAAGGAACACUCGCAUGGUCCUUUCCGCUACCAUAGAGGACCAUGGAAAAUCACGCUAUGAAGCCCCCAUCACAAGCUUUUAAAUAUAUUAUAUAAUUACAAAGAUACAAAAGUUUCGAAUUUUUUCCUUUUUUUAUUAAAUACAUAUAAUCAAUUAAUGACAAAAAGAGCUCACCUCUGAUGAACUCGCCAACAUUCCCCUCACUACCUGCAACAAAGUACAUGUAAAAAAAAUUAUAAUUUUUAGGUGCCUGUGGGAAGAAGGGAAGAAAGGUGUCAAGGAGGAGAAGGAGGAGGUGUUAGUGGUGGUGGUGGUGGUAGAAGAGACUAUAUGUGUCAAAAGCCUGCCUUCAAAGAACACCUGCUUGGAAGGGGUAUAGAGCAAAGCAAGAUAUAUGGAGGAUGGAAGAGAGAGUGAUAGAGAAGUAGUCUGUGUGUCAAUCAAGAAGCAGACGCUUGAGGGUUGUGUCUAUCAAGAAUAAGAAUUAAUCAAGGGUUUUGAAUGAAAGAAGAAGGGGGUGAGGAAACACUUGCAAGUGGGAACCUGACAGAGAGAGAGGUGAGCACGCACCCUGCAACUGUAUGGCCUCAUACAAUUGCUUGCGUGUGCUCACUCUCUUCUGUCAGUCUCUCUAGUGUCCCUCUUUUUAUUUUCUUUUGGCUCUUUCUCCUUUUCACCUUCAGAUCUGAAUCCACAAAACACACCUAUUAUGAACAAUAAACACAAAACCCACCAACUUAUAUAUCAUAUUCAUAUAAAAAAAAAAAAAAAACCUCCAAACACCAUAGCUAGGUUUCCCCACUCAACCAAAAGAGAAAAAAAAAUCCAUUCAUGCUUUCUAUAUCUGUAGCUAUACACCAGUUCCUGACUGCAAAAACCCAACCCAAGUUCAGCUUUUUCCUAAACAAUAAGAAUUAAUGGAGAGAAAGAAGAAAAGGGUCCUUUUCUGAUCGGGUGCAAAAGCAAAUGGGUCGUAUAUGACCUGAAGAGUUUGCUGAAAGCCGGGAAAGGAAGAUUGAUGGAAAUCUCAUUAGCAUGGUGAAUUG